This 248-nucleotide ribosomal RNA is filed under the name uncultured Enterobacteriaceae bacterium. RNAcentral describes it as "partial 16S ribosomal RNA". It matches the Rfam family "Bacterial small subunit ribosomal RNA", at positions 524 to 771 of the family's 1533-position model. Lineage: Bacteria; Pseudomonadati; Pseudomonadota; Gammaproteobacteria; Enterobacterales; Enterobacteriaceae. The record is from RNAcentral.
UACGGAGGGUGCAAGCGUUAAUCGGAAUUACUGGGCGUAAAGAGAGUGCAGGCGGUCUGUCAAGUCGGAUGUGAAAUCCCCGGGCUCAACCUGGGAACUGCAUCUGAUACUGGCAAGCUUGAGUCUCGUAGAGGGGGGUAGAAUUCCAGGUGUAGCGGUGAAAUGCGUAGAGAUCUGGAGGAAUACCGGUGGCGAAGGCGGCCCCCUGGACAAAGACUGACGCUCAGGUGCGAAAGAGUGGGGAGCAA